This 497-nucleotide ribosomal RNA is filed under the name uncultured bacterium. RNAcentral describes it as "partial 16S ribosomal RNA". It matches the Rfam family "Bacterial small subunit ribosomal RNA", at positions 28 to 507 of the family's 1533-position model. The record is from RNAcentral.
GAUGAACGCUGGCGGCGUGCCUAAUACAUGCAAGUCGAGCGAACAGACGAGGAGCUUGCUCCUCUGACGUUAGCGGCGGACGGGUGAGUAACACGUGGAUAACCUACCUAUAAGACUGGGAUAACUUCGGGAAACCGGAGCUAAUACCGGAUAAUAUAUUGAACCGCAUGGUUCAAUAGUGAAAGACGGUUUUGCUGUCACUUAUAGAUGGAUCCGCGCCGCAUUAGCUAGUUGGUAAGGUAACGGCUUACCAAGGCAACGAUGCGUAGCCGACCUGAGAGGGUGAUCGGCCACACUGGAACUGAGACACGGUCCAGACUCCUACGGGAGGCAGCAGUAGGGAAUCUUCCGCAAUGGGCGAAAGCCUGACGGAGCAACGCCGCGUGCGUGAUGAAGGUCUUCGGAUCGUAAAACUCUGUUAUUAGGGAAGAACAAAUGUGUAAGUAACUAUGCACGUCUUGACGGUACCUAAUCAGAAAGCCACGGCUAACUACGUG